GUAGUCUAUCGGGCGGCCGCUUGAUGUAAAAGCAUCAAGAGGAAAGUCCGGGCAGCGCAAAACGGCAGUCGCUAACGGCGACCGGAGGCGACUCUAGGGAAAGUGCCACAGAAACGAUACCGCCCGCAAGGGUAAGGGUGAAAGGAGUGCGGCAAGAGCGCACAGCUCUGUAUGGUGACAUACAGAGGAGGUAAACCCUGCUGGCUGCAAGUGUAUACGCUAGAGGCUUUUGGCAACGAAAGUCCUAGAUAGAUGGCCGCCACCCAUUUGGGUACAGAACCCGGCUUACAGAUAGGCUCUCGAA
This 304-nucleotide RNase P RNA is filed under the name Candidatus Nomurabacteria bacterium. RNAcentral's name for it is "RNase P RNA component class A". It matches the Rfam family "Bacterial RNase P class A". From Rfam's summary of the family: Ribonuclease P (RNase P) is a ubiquitous endoribonuclease, found in archaea, bacteria and eukarya as well as chloroplasts and mitochondria. Its best characterised activity is the generation of mature 5'-ends of tRNAs by cleaving the 5'-leader elements of precursor-tRNAs. The record is from RNAcentral. Lineage: Bacteria; Candidatus Nomuraibacteriota.